Molecule: ribosomal RNA, 102 nt
Filed under: Blastococcus sp. CT_GayMR20
Lineage: Bacteria; Bacillati; Actinomycetota; Actinomycetes; Geodermatophilales; Geodermatophilaceae
Description: Bacterial small subunit ribosomal RNA
Rfam family: Bacterial small subunit ribosomal RNA
Source: Rfam by way of RNAcentral
UCUACGGAGAGUUUGAUCCUGGCUCAGGACGAACGCUGGCGGCGUGCUUAACACAUGCAAGUCGAACGGUGAACCCGCUUCGGUGGGGGAUCAGUGGCGAAC